GGGACAACAGUCAAGCCCGGUACAAUAGGUCAGCGAAUCAGAUGGAUUCUGGCUCUGUUACCCAGGCUAGAGUGCAAUGGCACAAUCUCGGCUCACUGCAACCUCCGCCUUCUGGAUUCAAGCAGUUCUCCUGCCUCAGCCUCCCAUGUAGCUGGGACUACAGCCUGCAUUAUCCUGCCCUGGUUCAAGACAUGGGAAUGUGGUCAUGACAAUCCUGAACACAGCCUUAAACCUGGGAGCCCUGGAUCUGUUGGCCAUUUGGUUGGAAAGGUCUAAAAGAAGUGACAAGGAAGUAGUGUAAAGAAUGUAUAUGCAUUGUGUGUGUGUGUGUGUGUGUGCGCGCGUGUAGGAUGAUACAUGGGGAUGAAACAGGCUGUGUUUAUAGAAAAGUUUUGGAAAUAAGAAUAUGCAAAUGACCCUAAGUCACAUGUGGACUUCAGUCCUAGUUCAGACACUUAGCAUCUGAACAAACUGGACAAGACAUUUAUCCACCUGGACUAGUCUGCUGGGAAAUGACCUGUUGACCUCAUGAAGGUGUUGGGAGGAUCUGUGGAGUUCAAGAAGAAAGUGAGUAAAAUCCUGAUAUAUGCAGUGCACUACACUGAAGACUAGAAGGGUAUGGAGGAAAAGAAGUGGUGGUCCCUGAUUUGAAGGCGUUUCCAUUGAAAUUAGGGGAAACAGACAUGUAAAACUAAGUCUAAAUGCUACAGAAUGGAAAAUGUGCAACCAUGAAAUGAACCUCUCUUGAGCUCUUUACUGUAUGGCAGGUUAAAAGAUGUGAAUCUCACAACAGACUUACAAAGUGGGUAUUAUUAGCCACCCCAUUUUGCAGAUGAGAAAACUGAUAGCUAGAAAUCUUUAAUCUUUACUCCAAAUGCCAUGAUGCUAAAUUCCACAGCCAAAAUUCAUCUCAGGUCUAUGUAACCUGAAACUUUACUUGUAUCAUCAACCCAUGCUAUAAAUGGGAACCUUUUGCUCAACUUGGAAAAGGAGAAAGAACCACAAAAACAGAGCAGAGACACCCUUUAAAACUGUGUCGUUUUAAGGCCAAGCAUGAUGGCUUAUGCCUGUAAUCCCAGCACUUUGGGAGGCAGAGGCAGGUGGAUCACCUGAGGUCAAGAGUUCGAGACCAGUCUGGCCAAUAUGGUGAAACCCUGUCUCUACUAAAAAUACAAAAAAAAAAAAAAAUUGGCCUG
Long non-coding RNA from Callithrix jacchus (white-tufted-ear marmoset), 1196 nucleotides. RefSeq lists it as uncharacterized. The record is from RefSeq and is a predicted model, not a curated record. Lineage: Eukaryota; Metazoa; Chordata; Mammalia; Primates; Cebidae.